GCUGGGUUUGGUGGUGCAUACCUGUAGUAAUCCCUACAACUGAGGAGGUUGUGGCUGGUGGAUCAUUUAAGCUCAGGAGUUCUGAGCUGCAGCAAGGCUAAGCUGAUCAGAUGUCUGCACUAAGCCUGACACCCAUAAGAUGAGCCCCAGCGGCGAGGCUCACUAGCCUGCUUAAGGGAGGGCGAACCAGACCAGGUCAGAAAUCGAGCAGGUCAAAGCUUCCAUGCCCAAUCAGCAGGGGGAUUGGGCCAUCGAGUGACCACUGCACUGACAACCUGGACAUGAUAGAAAAACCCAUUCUCC
This 303-nucleotide non-coding RNA is filed under the name Phascolarctos cinereus (koala). Lineage: Eukaryota; Metazoa; Chordata; Mammalia; Diprotodontia; Phascolarctidae. The record is from RNAcentral.